GCAGCCAGCUGCGAGAUUUGGUGUGAAUUGCAGGACACAUUGAGCACUGAUUUUUCGAACGCACAUUGCGGCCUCGGGUACUACCCGUGGCCUCGCCUGUCUGAGGGUCGGAUAAGACUUACCGAGGAACUCUCUGUUCCAAUUGGCCGCACCGGACUUUCUAUACGAGAGUGCCGCCGGCUUAAGAUGCACUUAGUACUCUCUCGGGUCGAUGAAGCGCUUGACUUCGGACGGACAGAGCUGACUCUCUUCCGAAAAGAAGGGUGCAAACUGACCGUGAGGGGGAGAGCACUUACAAACACUUUGAACCGAUUAAAAAGUGUCGACCUCAGAUCAGACGAGACGACCCGCUGAAUUUAAGCAU
RNAcentral lists this ribosomal RNA (364 nucleotides) under Metellina merianae. RNAcentral describes it as "eukaryotic LSU rRNA". The stretch from base 1 to 110 matches the Rfam family "5.8S ribosomal RNA", at positions 45 to 154 of the family's 154-position model. The record is from RNAcentral. Lineage: Eukaryota; Metazoa; Arthropoda; Arachnida; Araneae; Tetragnathidae.